RNAcentral lists this small RNA (86 nucleotides) under Escherichia coli. RNAcentral's name for it is "partial RtT sRNA". It matches the Rfam family "RtT RNA", at positions 1 to 81 of the family's 130-position model. Rfam says of the family: This family represents a bacterial cis-regulatory element known as RtT RNA. The exact function of RtT is unknown although it is thought that it may be involved in changing the cellular response in relation to amino acid starvation. The record is from RNAcentral. Lineage: Bacteria; Pseudomonadati; Pseudomonadota; Gammaproteobacteria; Enterobacterales; Enterobacteriaceae. RNAcentral also lists the same sequence under 1 other name.
UUGCAUUUGAAGCCCAUGAGGAUGAGAACCUCCGGGGGCGGGGAGGUUCGACUCGAGCGAAGCGAGAGAACGUUGCGCCAGCAACG